RNAcentral lists this ribosomal RNA (253 nucleotides) under uncultured bacterium. RNAcentral describes it as "partial 16S ribosomal RNA". It matches the Rfam family "Bacterial small subunit ribosomal RNA", at positions 524 to 776 of the family's 1533-position model. The record is from RNAcentral.
UACAGAGGUCUCGAGCGUUGUUCGGAUUCAUUGGGCGUAAAGGGCGCGUAGGCGGCGGGGUAAGUCUGGUGUGAAAUCUAGGAGCUCAACUCCUAAACUGCACUGGAUACUGCCGUGCUUGAGGACUGGAGAGGAGACUGGAAUUUACGGUGUAGCGGUGAAAUGCGUAGAUAUCGUAAGGAAGACCAGUGGCGAAGGCGGGUCUCUGGACAGUUCCUGACGCUGAGGCACGAAGGCCAGGGGAGCAAACGGG